GGCCUCCUGGUGCUUACUACAGGCUGUAUUCUUGCACUGACUGUAAAGAAAGAGGCAGAGAAGACCCUCCCUAUGUACACCUCAGCUCAGGCCUCGUAUAUGGGCUGUAUUGUGAAUGGGGGGGAUAAGG
Molecule: small nucleolar RNA, 130 nt
Organism: Oryctolagus cuniculus (rabbit)
Lineage: Eukaryota; Metazoa; Chordata; Mammalia; Lagomorpha; Leporidae
Source: Ensembl